UAAGGAAUAUUGCUCAAUGGGAGAAAUCCUGAAGCAGCAACGCCGCGUGGAGGAUGAAGGGUCUAUGACUUGUAAACUCCUGUAAAGAAGGAAAAAAUUCCCAUUAGAUGGGAGAUGAUGGUACUUCUGGAGUAAGCCCCGGCUAACUACGUGCCAGCAGCCGCGGUAAUACGUAGGGGGCAAGCGUUGUCCGGAUUUACUGGGUGUAAAGGGUGCUCAGGCGGAUUUGUAAGUCAGAGGUGAAAUCUUACAGCUUAACUGUGAAAAUGCCUUUGAUACUGCAAGCCUAGAGUAUGGAAGAGAGUGAUAGAAUAUCUGGUGUAGCAGUGAAAUGCGUAGAUAUCAGAUAGAACACCAAUGGCGAAGGCAGUCACUUGGUCCAUUACUGACGCUAAAGCACGAAAGCGUGGGUAGCAAACA
RNAcentral lists this ribosomal RNA (420 nucleotides) under uncultured bacterium. RNAcentral's name for it is "bacterial SSU rRNA". It matches the Rfam family "Bacterial small subunit ribosomal RNA", at positions 355 to 774 of the family's 1533-position model. The record is from RNAcentral.